UACGGGGGGAGCAAGCGUUGUUCGGAUUUACUGGGCGUAAAGGGCGCGUAGGCGGCGUAACAAGUCACUUGUGAAAUCUCCGGGCUUAACCCGGAGCGGCCAAGUGAUACUGUUGUGCUAGAGUGCGGAAGGGGCUACUGGAAUUCUCGGUGUAGCGGUGAGAUGCGUAGAUAUCGAGAGGAACACCUGCGGCGAAGGCGGGUAGCUGGGCCGACACUGACGCUGAGGCGCGAAAGCCAGGGGAGCGAACGGG
Molecule: ribosomal RNA, 253 nt
Filed under: uncultured bacterium
Lineage: Bacteria
Description: partial 16S ribosomal RNA
Rfam family: Bacterial small subunit ribosomal RNA
Source: RNAcentral